AUACGGAGGGUCCGAGCGUUAUCCGGAAUCAUUGGGUUUAAAGGGUCCGUAGGCGGGAAUCUAAGUCAGUGGUGAAAUCUUGCAGCUCAACUGUAAAAUUGCCAUUGAUACUGGAUUUCUUGAAUUAGUGUGAAGUGGUUAGAAUGUGUAGUGUAGCGGUGAAAUGCAUAGAUAUUACACAGAAUACCAAUUGCGAAGGCAGAUCACUAACACUAUAUUGACGCUGAGGGACGAAAGCGUGGGGAGCGAACAGGAUUAGAAACCCCUGUAGUCC
RNAcentral lists this ribosomal RNA (274 nucleotides) under uncultured bacterium. RNAcentral describes it as "partial 16S ribosomal RNA". It matches the Rfam family "Bacterial small subunit ribosomal RNA", at positions 523 to 796 of the family's 1533-position model. The record is from RNAcentral.